Molecule: long non-coding RNA, 1109 nt
Filed under: Zea mays
Lineage: Eukaryota; Viridiplantae; Streptophyta; Magnoliopsida; Poales; Poaceae
Description: long non-coding RNA (ZMAY_LNC005593)
Source: RNAcentral
GGAGAUGUUUCAGUACAUGCAGAGCCUUGGCGUCACAUUCGAUUUUUCUCCUCCACCUUCGUUGUUCCCUAUAGCUGACCCUGCUUAGUUCCAUACUCCUGUGAAUAUCAAAAUUCUAGUCCUGCAUUAUAUAUAUUCAUUUGGUCUCACAAAUGCAAUCUGUUCUCUGUGUAGGGACAAUCUACAGCAUAAAACAAUCCUCAUGGAUCGUCCAGUCUGGCCACGCACCUCGCUGAUGACAUUUGUGUUGCUAACAUGUUUGAGAAACUUGUUGUGAGAUACUUGGUGAGAUACUUGUUGUGAGAUACUUGGUGAGACUUAUGUUUGUGAAACUUUUUGAUGUGUUGAUAUUUGUGAGAUAUAUGGUGUUGGUGAUACAUGUGCUAAUUCUGUGAUAUAUGUGAUGUCUAUAAUAUGUAUCUUUUGUUUGUUUGUAUGAAUAGCAAAAACAAAUAAAAAGGGGCAUUCUGAUCACUUUGCCGAGUGUAACACUCGGCAAAAGGUAAGUGCCAUGACCAUAGCACUCAGCAAAGAAGGUACACAUGGGAACCGAUAAAGCUUAUUUGUCGAGUGUUGUAGUCGAGGCACUCGACAAACAAGCAACCUUUUGUCGAGUACCUCCUAAUGCACUCGGCAUAGAGACUGGCAAAAGGGGCCUACGUGGGUCUUCUUUGCCGAGCGUUAGUCUAGCAGACACUCGGCAAAGGCUCUGUCACCGUCACUUGGUGUCGUGACGACGACUUUUCUUUGCCAUGUACAAGAUAGCACUCGGUAAAGCAUUUACCGAGUGUCCGACAAAAAGUACUCGGCAAAAAAAUCGAUGUAUAGUUAACAAGAGUCACACUCGGUAAAUACUUCGCUAAGUGUUUUAUAACCUUUGCCGAGUGCCAUCUACGUCCGGCAUAUAAGACCGGUGGGAAUACGUACCAGCUGCCUGCGGGGCGCUACGACGGGUCCAUGCCUCGCGCGAGUCGGACACCAACGGCAACCUGCCACUGCGCCGACGGCCAACGCCACCAUGCUCACGCAGGUCUUUGGCGCCAAGGGUCUGACGCAGAAGGACUGUCUCCCCCUUCUACAAUGGGGACUCGGGGUCAGGCAAACUGCAG